This 8294-nucleotide long non-coding RNA is filed under the name Fragaria vesca (wild strawberry). RNAcentral's name for it is "long non-coding RNA (FVES_LNC003899)". Lineage: Eukaryota; Viridiplantae; Streptophyta; Magnoliopsida; Rosales; Rosaceae. The record is from RNAcentral.
AAACCUGGUAGUUUGCUACGAUAACUAAAAGCAAUUACUAGCAGACUUCCAAUUCUGAAACUACAAAAACCAUGUGGGGGAUGACAAUUGCAAACACAAAUCUUUCCAUUAUAUAUAAGCAUGCAUGAACCUAUGGAGCCCAACUGCAGGAGCAGGCACCAAAAUUGCCUCCUAAGUCCUACCAAAUUGCGUAUCAUACCAAUAACACAAUUUACCUAAUCAGGCCCGUUGUGAUUUCUUCAUUUUCCUAAGGAUUGAAUUUAGUUGGGCCUCUUGAUUAACCAAACAAUGGGCAUUGGCCCAGUUAAGAUGAGGGAUAAGUUCAUUCCUAUGUAUUUACAAGCCUUCAUGUAGCCUCUCAUGGUCGAGUUGGUAAGAGCCUAGGUGUGAAACCAUAUACCUAGGUUCGAAUCCUAGCCGACACUAAUUGGAGUUAAAUCCUAAUUUAUUCUUGGUGGCCAGAGGGGAUGAAGUGUUCUGACAUGAUCCCUCGACGCAGAUUAGUCUUUGAACCUGGAAAGCCUUUGAGGAUACCGUCGUUGACACUCUAACAAUAUAUAUAUAUAUAUAUAUAUAUAUAUAUAUAGUGGCUUUUCCAGUGCUAGACAAAAACUGAUUUCACGUGUAUCAUGAAGUUUGGUUUUCUCCAACUCACAGUUUCUCUAUGGAUGACCAUUACUCAUCCACCGGUUAUAGGCAAGAGAGGAAAGAGUUGUUAGGGUUGAGAUAUAUCGCAAGCGGUAACAAACAUAGAAAAAGACAUGUGAAUGAUAGUGGAAGCAAAAAGAAGACGACCAAGACCAAGAACAAGACCCAUUGUCUAGCAGUCCGAGGGAGAACCUAUCUUCUUUCUUUAAUUUCAUACCACUCGGCCACUAUAAUAAUUCAUACAACUUUACUGAAUGAAUCAUUGAUCACUCACCCAAAAAAACAAAAUAAAAGGAAUCAUUGAUACCAAAAGAAAAAAAGCUUUACCAAAUGAAGUGGAUCCUGAGCUUUUAUCAAACAAACUUGCAUGUCAAUAUAAUAGAAUGUGGUGCUAUUGAUUCACACUUAUAGUUGAUCGAGUAUAGUGCAUGUUUCUCAAUCUUUCUUUCGAAGGCGAUUCAGUUGCUGCAAAAUUUAUUUGAUCGAGUAUAGUGUAUGAUUUCUUUAGUCACUAUGUGACCAUAUGAACAAUACUAUUUGGUUUAUAACAUCGUAUACCCUCAAAAUACUCCAACAUAUGGGAAUCCCCAACGUAUGCCAGAAACUAAUAUCAAAAUCAAAAUAUGUUAUGUACACAUGUACAUAUUGACUAUUGAGGUUAUGAAAGUUUUGGAUUCAGUUUUCCGGUUGCGGUUUUUCUUCUUCUUCUUCUUCGUCGAGUACAGAGCAAGUCGGAUCCAUCUCUAUCUCACCGUCUUUCGCUAACACCCACUAACUUCACUUGUGCCUAACAUCGUUAAUUUCAAUGACGUGUGGGCAACACGCGCCAAUUCAACUGCAGUCUAUGGGCACCGCAGUCUAUACUAGACGCUCUCAAGAAACUUUAUUAUAACUUCACGGAUAGUCAAGUUCCUUCCUAGUUUCACUAAACAUAUCAGGUAAAUAAUUCUAUAUAACUUUCAUUACUUAUGUCCUUAUGAUGUAAACAUUACUCCUAUAUAAAAGGGUAUAAUGAGAAUGAAUGAUAUAAUUCUUCCUUCUCCCCCAAAAAAAAAAAAAAAAAGAAAAGUCUAUAUAACUUAAUCCAGACAUAAUUGGGUUCCAUAGGCUAGCUAUUUCAGAUUAAUCUGGUUUCAAGUUAAUGAUCAAUUCCAGCUUUCCAUCAUGCAAUCUUAUAAUGUAUGCUACUUCGAUUCUAGAGCGCCAAUCUUUGCUCUAUAGCUAGCUACCCAGUACUACUAAUUGUCUAGUUGAUCCUGCUUUCCUCAAGUAAGGAAAAAACAUACUCUUUCACUGCAUAUAUCUUCCUUAAUUGGUAAUUCUGUCUCUAUUCUUGAUUGUAAACCGUAAACUAACAAUUUUCUAGCUUCCGACCACCGUUGUUCCUCUUUCUAGCUAGAUCUAAACCACAUGCACCAGUCAUUACUGUGACUAAUUUUCAUAUUUAUAUUUUUCAAAUUUCAGUACUGCGGAUUGGAAAAUUGCUCGAGUACGAAGACUACCAUCGCGAUCGGCUGUGUUAGUAAUUCUGAGACCAUCUCAUCCAGCAUAACAGAAAGGCAUAAAAUAAUUAUGGCUAAACAUCAGGGACCAAACAAUGAAAUCCAAAUGAGGUUUGUUUUAUUAACCUAGCAAUAAGUUAGUUUUCUGCAAUUGUACUGAUAAAUUUAGGUUACGGAUUCGAUCGUUGAGCUUUUUGUUCAGUGGUCAGUUGUAGUAGUCGACGGCUUCGAUUCAUUUAAUUUACAUUAUUUUUGUUUUUCUUCUAUCAGCAUUACACCAGAUGUGUCUCAUGAUUUCGGUAGUCCUGAGGCUCAUCGAAAACCGACACCCGAACAUGGACAACCUCAAGCAAGCAGCCAAAGAUGGAAUUGGCCAACAGUUGCCGGAGUUUCUUCAGAUUUGAACCCAUGGUGGAAUAAGAUACUGGUAACUUCAUGUGUGAUUGCAGUUUUAUUUGAUCCCUUGUUCUUUUACAUUCCAUACACCAGCGAGGAAAAAAAGUGUAUGGGAAGCGACGAAAGAGUGCAGACUGCAGCUCUGAUUUUCCGAUCAGUCACAGACAUCACUUUCCUGGUGCAUAUCAUAUACCAACUAUAUGUGGCUAUCAAAUUUGCACUCUCAAGGGUGGAUGAAAGUUUGGUUUUUAGAUAUGAAUCGGUAUCCCGAGUGCAAAUGAUUCGGUUUGCAAAGGCAUUUUCUCUCAAGUUGUCAUGGCGAUCUUUCCUAACUGACGUUUUCGCUAUUUUGCCCAUACCACAAGUAAGACAUAUCGUAACUCUCUUUCUAGUUAUUAGCUAGAGAUUGGCUAAUAAUUAACUCGCUGUAAUUUACGGUCUUUUUAAAAGUUUUAACCCACGAUUUUUUGUCCAGCUGCUAAUAGUAGGAUUGUUUUUCAACAUCGGAGGCAAUGACUACUUGUUAAGAAGAAAGAUUGUGAGCGGUUUUCUUCUAGUCCAAUAUGUGCCAAGAAUCUAUCGAAUUUAUCUUUCAUCUGUCGCGAUUACAGAAUCUGCAUUAUGGGUUAGAGGUGUAUUUAACCUUUUCCUCUACAUCCUUGCGAGUCAUGUAAGUUUAUCCAUCUCACCUCUUCUCAUCAAUUUUUUAUUAUUGUUUUUUUUUUUUCUUUUCAUUGAAUUAGGUGAGUUACUUGAGUUAAGUUUGUGUUGAUAAAAAAUGUUUGUUGUUAAUUAUAGGCACUUGGAGCCUUUUGGUACUUUUUUUCUAUUCAACGACAGACAUCAUGUUGGCAUCGAACUUGCAUCGCCGAUUUAAAUCGAACAGAAUCAGAAUGCACAUUUUACUGUGAUGACAGUACUGCUGCACUUAUAACCGGUACCCCACAAUUCAAUACAACUCUAGACGAGCAAUGCGUUCUAAAAGUUCCAUAUAACAUGACCGAUCCACCAUUUGAUUUUGGAAUAUUUUUUGAUGCCCUCAAAAAUGAUAUCCAAGGGAAAAUAAAUGUUCCACAAAAGAUUGGUUACUGUUUUUGGUGGGGCUUGCGAAACUUGAGGUAAUCUUCAUUUAUAACUUAAUUCAGUCGGGUCAUUCAUCAACCAACAUUUUACAAUUACUAAUCAUUUAACAAUUUCUUCUGUGGCCGGCAGUAAUUUUGGUACAAGUUUAACAACGAGUACCUAUCUGUGGGAAAACAGCUUUGCCAUUUUAAUUUCUAUCAUCGGCUUGCUAUUGUUUUUAUACCUCAUUGGAAAUGUACAGGUUGGUAACCUAAUCGAUCACCCAUAUAUGUUAUGUUACUUAUGUAUAUACAGUAUUAUAUAUAUAUAUAUAUUUGCUAUUGUACAUAGCAAUGGUUAACUUAAUUUGAUCGAGGAGGUGAUUAAAUUGAUGGAUGGAGUUGUUAAUUAUAUGCAACAUGCAGAUUUAUAUGGAGAGGGCAACUACCAGAGCGGAUGAGGUAAGAGAGAAGCUUCGGAUCAAAAAGAACGAUAUAGAUGAUUGGAUCGAAAAUAAUGGUAUCGGGAAGGACAUGAAGGAAGAGAUCAUGAAAAACAUCAAGGAGAAGUUGGAAAAGGACAUAAGUGCAGAUCUGGAUGAUAUAUACUCUAUUCUUCCCCCGAAUACCAGGAAAGUUGUGAAGCGAUUUGUCGGCAUGAGGACGCUAAGAAAUGUAUGUCACAGUACCCUUGUUUGUGACUUGUGUCAUCAGUACGUUGUGUGUGUUGUUGAAGCUAGCUUACUAAUCAGUGGUCUGCUUAUACAUACAUAUGUAGGUACCAAUGCUUAGCGAGGUGGAUGGAAGAGUUUUGAAGAUGAUGUGCGACUAUCUGAAGCCGGUCAAGUACCAGGAGAAUACAAUGGUUUUUAAAAUGGGAAAACCAUUUGAUAGAAUGGUCUUCAUUACAGAUGGGUCAAUGUGGACUUACACGACUGCUACUGAUCAUCAGACUAGUGAUUCUGGAAAAGCAACGUCAGGAGGACUAGUUACUUCUUCGUCCACGGAAGCUCACUUCCUCGAGAAGGGUGAUGCUUAUGGACACAUGCUUCUGCAAUUAGCAUCAUCAUCUUUUACGACGCUUCCUAUCUCAGAUGCAAAUGUCAAGUGCCACACAAAGGUAGAGGCGUUUGUCCUCAUGGCCAGUGACUUGAGAAACAUAGUAACUGAGUGCGGUCGGUGCGGUCGGUGCGGAGAUUUGUGGCCGGAUUUCAAGUAUAAUGCUUCUCAAGAUGAGGAGGCUGUUCAGAAGGCACCGCCGGGGCACUUUCAGCAACAACAAGGGCCAAAGAAGCGUGGAACAACAUCAAAUAUCCAUCCUACCGGCUACAGUGGGUGAUGCAUGCGAAGCUGAAGCCUGCUGCAAAUCGCCCCUAGCUAGCCUGCAGUGAUCUAGGGCGCGCAGUACGUUGUGCAUUAUUUGCUUUUACAUAUAUAGCAGCUACAGCUAAAGCUAGCUAGCUAGCUAUCCAUCAACUCCAUCCUUCAAGCUAGCUGCUACUUACUCUUAUUGUCAUAUAUAUCAUCGUUUCUUCAUUUGUAUCGCUACGUACUUGAGCUAUGGUACUUGUUAUCGAUCAGUGAUUGCCUGUUUUAAUAUAUCAAUUAUUUGAGAAUAAAAAUAAGACUUGAGUUUUGAUAACGGAGUUAUAUGAGCAAAUUUCUUUGAUUCCCACCAGUUCAUUCAAAGAUCAACAAGACACUCAAGGAAGGCAAUUUCUAUGGAGUGGAACAACUUCUACGUUGGGUAGCAGUACCUGACGAACAUUUCUCCAAACUUCCUAGCUAGCUUGAACGAGAAUGUGAGAUCUCAAUCAAAAGUGGAAGGCUUUACUCUCAUGGCCAGCGACUUGAGAAAGGUAGCCAACAACUGCGCAGGCCUUUGGAAGUUCACCAACGCCCUGAUUGCCCUCAAUCCUGAAGAAAGAGAGGUGGCGGCACAUACUAGUACGUACUACGUACCAUAGCAGCAGCAGUAGUCAGUUGUUUCCGAAAUGCAGCAAAGAAGUCGUCCGGAGCAAACCCGUCGGCAGUUGAAUUGGCCAAUGAACAACGUUUAGCUAUAGCUUGUGUUGCCCUAGCUCGCAACUUGGUAUAUAUCCAUUUUGAUUUUACAAGGCAACUAGCUAAUAAUUAAGACAAAGUCGAUUUAAUUGGCAUACACGGGGCGUGAAAUUGUGUUGUUUUAAUUUGAAUGUUACAAUUAAGAUUGAUUAUGGUUUGUGCUUAAUUAUUGGAUUUCUCUAUCUUCAAUCACUAUAUAUAUAUUAUAAAAAAAAUCUUCAAAGAUUAUAGUGGAUAUGCUUCCGCUAGUUCCUCAGAACAAACAAAACACUAAUGAAUCUAUCCCAGAUGCUUGAAGAUUGGAUCACUGAGCACGGUCGUAUCUACGUACGUACUCCAACAAUUUGAAGAGAAAGCAAGACGGUAUCAGAUUUUUAUAGCCAAAUAUCUCUCUGUGCAAAAGUUCAACAAAGAAGGUGCGCAUAGUGAUGAUAUUCGGCUUAAAGAUUUGAAACCGCCUUGCUUCGAUCUCUUCAUUGCUGGAAUAGACACAAUAUGUACAGUACUCUGAAUUUUUAUGUAAGGCUGGAUUGGGUCUUGUAAACUUGGGUUCAUGCAUUCGUUUUACGGGAUUAGAGAGACGAGCUAACCCGUCCAAGCCACAAAAAACAGCCCAAAUAGAUUAGAGGCCCACUGGCCCAUAACCCAUCUCCCUCUUCUACUUUCCUUCAAAACUGUUUACCUUGUAUUCUAGCUACAACAUUGUUUAAGAUUGAGAAAUUUUAAAUACACACCCCUAAUAUCUUAAUACACACCCCUUACUUAAUACACCACCUAUCAAGUUUUUUAUUUCAGUAUUAUACUUAAUACACAUCCCAAACUGCCUAAAAUGCCCUGAAUUUAUGAAAUAUUCCGUUAUUUAAUAUAAUUAAUAUAUAUUUACUAUUUGGUACAUCUUUUUACAUAUUAUUUCGUCUAAUUUUUGCUAGAAAUUUGUGGUUAUCAUCGUUCAAUUUAUAAUCAAAUGAUUAUUAUUAUAUCCCAACUCCAAAUCACCAAUACAAGUUUUCAAAAUUCACAAACUAGUACAAGUGUAGAAGUAUAGUAGCUAUUAAACAUAAAUAGCUAAUUAUUCGAUAAAACAUGUCAUGAUUAAAAUGCAAUAUUUGACAAUAUGAUCUACAAGAUCAAACUAAAGCUGAUAAAGAUAUAGUACUUGACAAUAUGAUCUGUAAAAUCAAACUAAAGCUGAUACGGAUACAAAAAAAAANNNNNNNNNNNNNNNNNNNNAAAAAAAAAAAAACAAAACCCCAAAAUGAAUUGUGAAGAAGAAUUUGGGUCAUGGGAGAAUACGUGUUUUCGACUAUUUUAGGGUAGAAGACGUUGAAAAGAAUACUUCUAGCGUGAAUUUUUUUUUUUAAUUAAUAGAUGUAUGUUUUGGUCAUUUAGCUUACCUAUAAAAUCUCAAUAGAAACAAAAUAAUAGGGGUGUGUAUUAAGAGAUUAGGGGUGUGUAUUUAAAAUUUCUCUUUAAGAUUCCAUAAGAAAUUCUACUUAUUGAAGAUGAUAAUUCUAGAUAGAAAAAUUAUUGGUUUUAUAAAAAGAUUCAAUUUCAAGCACGUACUUGGUAAAACAAAAAUGAUAAGAAAAAGUUUGUAAUGUGUAACAAUGUAUUGUCCUUUAUUGUAAUUAGGUAAUUUAGUUUUUUAAUAAAUCAACAUCUUAUAGGGUGAGUAAAAUGGAUGAUAGGGUGACAUCAGCCGUACAUUUUGAAGUUGGCAUCUUCUGUCCAAUCUGAAGUCUAAUACAUUUUGAAAUCCUAAUCAAAUCUUAACUACUCUACCAAACACGGCCAAAAUGUAAAACUCCACUUUGAUAUGGUUGGGUGAUUUUUGGACUUCGAUAAAAGUGGCAGCAAGGUUUACAUGUCCUCUGAAAUGGUUUUCAAUGUAAGACCUGCUACCAUGCAUGAUACCAUCCUACCCAACUUCACUAGAGAAACCUGCUAGUUUGCUACGAUAACUAAAAGCAAUUACUAUCAGACUUCAAUUCUGAAACUACAAAAAACCAUGUGGGGGAUGACAAAUGCAAACACAAAUCUUUCCAAAUCUUUCCAUUAUAUAUAAGCAUGCAUGAACCUAACUGCAGGAGCAGGCACCAAAAUUGCCUCCUAAGUCCUACCAAAUUGCGUAUCAUACCAAUAACACCAUUUACCUAAUCAGCCCCGUUGUGAUUUCUUCAUUUUCCUAAGGAUUGAAUUUAGUUGGGCCUCUUGAUUAACCAAACAAUGGGCAUCGGCCCAGUUAAGAUGAGGGAUAAGUUCAUUCCUAUAAAUUUACAAGCCUUCCUGUAGCCUCUCAAACUGCGGAACAUAUGAAAGUAACUAUACAUCUAAGUUGGCUUUUCCAGUACUAGACAAAAACUGAUUUCACGUGUAUCAUGAAGUUUGGUUUUCUCCAACUCACAGUUUCUCUAUGGAUGACCAUUACUCAUCCACCAGUUAUAGGCAAGAGAGGAAAGAGUUGUUAAGGUUGAGAAAUAUCGUAAGCGGUAACAAACAUAGAAAAAGACAUGUGAAUGAUAGUGGAAGCAAAAAGAAGACGACCAAGACCAAGACCCAUUGUCUAACAGUGCGAGGGAGAACCUAUCUUCUUUCUUUAAUUUCAUACCACUCGGCCACUAUA